RNAcentral lists this ribosomal RNA (176 nucleotides) under uncultured bacterium. Its description in RNAcentral is "partial 16S ribosomal RNA". It matches the Rfam family "Bacterial small subunit ribosomal RNA", at positions 1316 to 1500 of the family's 1533-position model. The record is from RNAcentral.
CUCCAUGAAGCUGGAUUCGCUAGUAAUCGCGCAUCAGCCACGGCGCGGUGAAUACUUCCCGGGCCUUGUACACACCGCCCGUCAAGCCAUGGAAGCCGGGAGUGCCUGAAGUGCGUGAGCGCAAGCAGCGCCCUAAGGUAAAACCGGUGACUGGGGCUAAGUCGUAACAAGGUAUC